GAGGGAAGGAGAGUGAAAUUAAAUCUGCAUACUGAAUGUGAAAUCCUGUUGCUCUUCUUUCACCUGCUCAUAGAUCGUCUUUGUUACAAUACAUACUAUUGUUACAGACUAGUGGGGACUCUUAGCCACAUGUAAGAUGGAAAUUAGACAUCAAUUGAUUCUUCAGACAGCUGAUGACCAUCAUGAUUGUCUACCCUUUUCAUUAGGGGCCUCUAAAGAAAUGAGAGACCACAUUAUCAUUCAUCAGAUUCAACACUGUUCAUUACAAGUUAUGUUGAGGUGGUGCUUCUCAAUGAAAUCCUGACACUUAUUCCAUUUUUCCACAAUGGAUUUGAUCACAUCGCUGCUAACCUCCUCCCUGUCUUGCUCUUCCUCAGUGGAAUGCACCUCAACAAGCAUCUUCUGUGUCAGUCUGGAGUUCAACAAGUUCUUCUGUCAUCAGCUCCUCCUUAUGGUCCUCAACAAGCUCCUCUAUGUCUGCACUGUUGUAGUCCAGACCCAUACUCUUGCCCAUGGACACAAUCUCCUCCAUUACCUGUGCAUCAGAUCCUUCAAAGUCACAUUCAGUGACACAUUCUGGCCACAGUUUCCUCCAGGCUGAGUUUAAGGUUCGAUAUGUGACAUCUUCCUGGACUUUGUCAAUGGGAUUAAUGCAGUGGAGGACAUUGAAAUGUUUCUUCCAGUACUUUUUCAGAGUCAAGGACAUCUCUUCAGUGACAUUACAACAUCUGGUGUAGAGUGCCUUUGUGCACAGCCUCUUGAAGUUGCAGAUCACUUGCUGGUCCGUGGGCUGAAGAAGAGGUGUCAUGUUGUGGGGAGGAACUUGAUCUUUAUGAAGUCAUACUCAGCAUCCAUAUCAUCCACCAAGGCUGGAGGGUGUGCCAAGGCAUUGUCCAUCAGGAGAAAGCACCCUUCAGGCAGUUGGUUGUCAGAAAGAUAUUUUUUAACGGAGAGUGAGAAUACCUCAUGCAGCUAUUCCAUGAGCAAUUGUCCUGUGACCCAGGCUUUUCCAUUGGCCUUCCACAUAACAGGAAGUCUGGCCUUGUUCACAUUCUGUUCCUUGAAUGCACAAGGAGUCUAGGAAUGGUACACCAGUAGUGGCUUAAUCUUCAUAUGAGUGCUUUUGUUCACAUACACCAAAAGGUCAAUCUGUUCAUCAUAUACUUAUGCCACAGCAGUGCCUUUUCCUUCUGCAUGAUAUAAGUUCUAUAUGGCAUCUUCUUCCAGAGGAACCCUGUUUCAUCACAGUUGAACACUUGUUGAGUGACACAUUCUUCUGCUUUCAUGAAGUCUGCAAAUUCUUCUUUGUAGGCUUCUGCAGCGGUCUUGUCAGAACUGGAAGCCUCACCCAUGUCUUAUCACAAUGUGGAUGCCACUUCACUUGCAUAAUUUAUCAAACCACCCUACUGGCUUUAAAUUCAUCACUUGUUGCACUUGUAGAGAGGUUUUCUUGCAGUAAAUCACUGUACAAUUUUUUGGCUUUUUCUCAGAUCAUAGCAUUACUAACACUAUCACCUGUCAGCUGUUUCUCAUUCAGCCACACUAACAAAAGCUUUUCCACCUCUCCCAGCACUUGUGUCCUCUGCUUGGCUAACAAUGUAUUCCUUUUGCCAUAUCAGCUCCCUUGAUGGCAUCUUUAUUCUUCAAAAUAGUUGAGAUUGUCGACUUUGCCACCCUGUACUCCAAAGCCAGAUCAACCAUGUGAAUACCAUGAAAAUGCUUUUCUUCAAUUUCCUUCAAUUCAAUGGUUAUUUUCUUUUAAACCUUUUUCUUACCAUUCUUGCUCUGCACAUUCUGGUUACCUUCAUUAUUGCCCUACACAUUCUUGUCACCUUCAUUACCACUCUACAUUUUCUUUUUACCACCAUGUUUACUCGGCACAUUCUUUGGAGCCAUGCUAGGUUGAAUAAUACUGUACAGUACUGUAUGUGCUAAAAAGCACACAAGCUUCACAGCAGGUGUGCACAAGUCUGCCUGUGACUGUAAUCUCAACUAGAGGAAUCCACAACCACAUGUCAGAGUGGGGAGGAUGGUUGCAUUUGUAUUUGUGUGGGGAAGAUGGCCAUGGUUGUAUUCAUCACCUAAUGUGGAGUUUGUGAAUGGAAGCAAAAUUUUGCCAAAUACUUCUGUUGGUGAACCAAGACAUACUGUAAAAAGAAAAGGAUAAUAGAGAAAGAAUAAUUAACUUAAAGAAUCAAUCCAGAAGGUCCAAUAUCUAACUCAUAGGUGUUUCAGAAAGAGGAACUGAGAAAAAGAUGGGAGGAAAUGACAUAAUAACAAUAAUAGCAUUAUUAUUAUUAUUAUUAUUAUUAUUAUUAUUAUUCAAGACUAUCUCUCAAAAUUGCAGUGUGUGAGUCUCUGGAUUGAAUGGAUGCCCAGCAUAACAAUGCAAACAACCCACAUUGAUUGACCUGCACCUUUAGUACAUGAGAAGUCAAGAGAAAAGGUCACUCUGCCAAGUGUGGCAGUCAUUUGUUACAAGUGACUGUGCAGCACUUGGAAUGGGGCUCAUCCAAGCUGAAAUGUGCUACAACUGUAACAGACACCAGAUUAUAAAGGCUCUAGUAUACACCAAAAAAAAUUACAAUGCUACACUAAUAAUUUAAGUAUUGAGCACAUGUUGAAAUCAUAUAUUUUUAACACAUUGGUUUAAAUAAAGCAUGUCAUUAAAAUUAA
Long non-coding RNA from Heterocephalus glaber (naked mole-rat), 2676 nucleotides. RefSeq lists it as uncharacterized. Lineage: Eukaryota; Metazoa; Chordata; Mammalia; Rodentia; Bathyergidae. The record is from RefSeq and is a predicted model, not a curated record.